CGAGGAUUCCCUUAGUAACUGCGAGUGAAGAGGGAACAGCCCAGCACCGAAUCCCUCAGCAGUAUCGCUGACGGGAAGUGUGGUGUUAAGAUUGCUCCUUGUGCGUUGGUGUGCCGCCCAAGUCCUCUUGACUGGGGCUCGAUGGCCCAUAGUGGGUGUCAGGCCUUUAGUGGCGGCGUGCUGGCGUGCAUGGUUCAAUCAACGAGUCGGGUUGUUUGUGAAUACAACCCAAAGUAGGUGGUAUACUCCAUCUAAGGCUAAAUAUGAGUACGAGUCCGAUAGCAAACAAGUACCGUGAGGGAAAGUUGCAAAGAACUUUGAAGAGAGAGUUCAAGAGUACGUGAAACCGCUAAGAGGGAAGCGGGUGAGGCCACGUGGUUGCGCGACGAAUUCAGUUGCUCGCGAUUGCGGUCGCUUUGUGCCGUCGCAUGCGGCCAGUGAUGGUCGUUGGGCGGUGCGGGGUGCAUACUCAGUCGGAGCAGCGCAUUUUCGUCGCUGCAAUGUGCCACGAUCGGUUGUUCUGGCGGCUAGAAGCUCUCGGCGCAGGUAGCAGCGCUGCGUUGGUUUGCAACGUGGGGUCUGCGAAGCGCCGUCUGUUUAUAGUGCGCUGGGCGACUGUGGACAGCUGCUCUGAGAGCUGAAGCGGCGUAGGCCGUGCGAAGCGGGGCUAGCUGCGCGGGCGGGCUUGUUCGGCGGUGCCUGGACUGGUUCUGCAGUGCUGGUGCCGUCGGGUGGGCUGUCUGGCUGUGCGCUUGUCCGGAGAGCAUUUUGCGACGCUGUUCAGUGGCGUGCUGGUCACUUACCCGUCCCGUCUUGAAACACGGACCAAGGAGUUCAGCUUGCGGGCGAGUCUGAGGGUGUUGCAAACCCGAAGGCGAAGUGAAAGCAAAGACCGCUCCUUGUUGGGCGGACGUGAUGGGAUCCCGGCGCGGCGAGAGCCGUCCGGGCGCACCAUCGUCUCGUCGGUGCCUCGUGUGGGCUCGGCGACGACAGAGCCCGCGGGCUGAGACCCGAAAGAUGGUGAACUAUGCCAGAGCAGGGUGAAGCCAGAGGAAACUCUGGUGGAAGCCCGAAGCGAUUCUGACGUGCAAAUCGAUCGUCUGACUUUGGUAUAGGGGCGAAAGACUAAUCGAACCAUCUAGUAGCUGGUUCCCUCCGAAGUUUCCCUCAGGAUAGCUGGCACUCGUUCGGAGGCAGUUGUACCCGGUAAAGCGAAUGAUUAGAGUGUUCUGGACCGAAACGGUCUAAACCUAUUCUCAAACUGUAAAUGGGUACGAGGAUUGGCUCGCUUGAUUGGAGUCGAUCUGCUUCUCACAAACGAAUGCGUGGAGUGCCCAGUGGGCCACUUUUGGUAAGCAGAACUGGCGCUGUGGGAUGAACCAAACGCACGGUUAAGGUGCCAAACGCGGACGCUCAUUGGAAACCACAAAAGGUGUUGGUUGAUAUAGACAGCAGGACGGUGGUCAUGGAAGUCGAAAUCCGCUAAGGAGUGUGUAACAACUCACCUGCCGAAUCAACCAGCCCUGAAAAUGGAUAGCGCUCGAGCGUCGGACCUAUACCGUGCCGUCACGGGAGAGCAUUGCUGAAGCAGCCCGUGUCGAGUAGGAGGGCGCCGUGGUGAACGUCGAAGCCUAGGGCGCGAGCCCGGGUGGAGUCGCCACGGGUGCAGAUCUUGGUGGUAGUAGCAAGUAUUCAAGUGAGAACCUUGAAGACUGAUGUGUGGAGAAGGGUUCCAUGUGAACAGCAGUUGAACAUGGGUCAGUCGAUCCUAAGUGAUAGGAAAGCUCCGUUCUGAAGCUGGGCGCUGCACAACGCAGACGCGUGUGUCGCUCGCCCGUGCCUAUCGAAAGGGAAUCGGGUUAAUAUUCCCGAACCUGCACACGGAGAUCGCUCCCGUGCCGUGGACAACGCGGUGCGGGAGCAGGCGCGGUAACGCAAGCCCGCUUGGAGAAGUCGGCGGCGGUCCCGGGAAGAGUUAUCUCUUCUUUGUUAGGAAGCGUGUCCCAUGGAAUCGGCUUGGCCGGAGAUAUGGGCGUUAGCUUCCGUAAAGCAUCGCGUUCUACGCGGUGUCCGGUGCGCUGUCGUCGACCCUGGAAAAUCCGAGAGGGGCGUGAUGAUUUUCUGGCAGAUCGUACCGAUAUCCGCAGCAGGUCUCCAAGGUGAAGAGCCUCUAGUCUCUAGAAUAAUGUA
Molecule: ribosomal RNA, 2190 nt
Filed under: Cephalodasys mahoae
Lineage: Eukaryota; Metazoa; Gastrotricha; Macrodasyida; Lepidodasyidae
Description: partial 28S rRNA
Rfam family: Eukaryotic large subunit ribosomal RNA
Source: RNAcentral